RNAcentral lists this ribosomal RNA (460 nucleotides) under uncultured bacterium. Its description in RNAcentral is "partial 16S ribosomal RNA". It matches the Rfam family "Bacterial small subunit ribosomal RNA", at positions 338 to 795 of the family's 1533-position model. The record is from RNAcentral.
CCUACGGGUGGCAGCAGUGAGGAAUAUUGGUCAAUGGGCGCGAGCCUGAACCAGCCAAGCAGCGUGAAGGAUGACUGCCCUACGGGUUGUAAACUUCUUUUAUAAGGGAAUAAAGUGAGGGACGUGUGCCUUUUUGUGGGUACUUGAUGAAUAAGGAUCGGCUAACUCCGUGCCAGCAGCCGCGGUAAUACGGAGGAUCCGAGCGUUAUCCGGAUUUAUUGGGUUUAAAGGGGGCGUAGAUGGGUUGUUAAGUCAGUGGUGAAAGUUUGCGGCUCAACCGUAGAAUUGCCUUUGAUACUGGCAGUCUUGAGUACAGGUGAGGUAGGCGGAAUGCGUGGUGUAGCGGUGAAAUGCUUAGAUAUCACGCAGAACUCCGAUUGCGAAGGCAGCUUACUAACCUGCCACUGACGUUGAUGCACGAAAGUGUGGGUAUCAAACAGGAUUAGAUACCCUUGUAGUC